Molecule: long non-coding RNA, 797 nt
Filed under: Polistes fuscatus (common paper wasp)
Lineage: Eukaryota; Metazoa; Arthropoda; Insecta; Hymenoptera; Vespidae
Description: uncharacterized LOC122514958
Source: RNAcentral
CCCUACAAACAUAUUCGUAAUUAAAAGCAAAUUGAGUGACAUCUGAUAUUCAAAUCCAAAAUACGUAAGUAACAUCUAUGAAAAAAAGAAAUGACAGUUUCCAUGAUGUUAUUCUCAGCAGAUAUAACCUCUAAAGAUUUUUAAUACUAUAACAUUGAAAAGGACAAUGUAUUUAACAUGGGAAUUAUAUACAAUGCCUGAAACAUGUUUUGAUCAAUUUAUAAAAUGUCUGAUCAUUAUAAAGAAUGCCCAGAGGAUAGUAUUCAAUGUAUUGAAUCACUCUGACAAGGAAAUUUAAGUUUCGGUUAAUCUAUAAAAUAUGUUUGAGUUAACCAUGUUUAGAACACAUGGGGAGGGUUGGAAAUUAUUUAAAAAAAAGUUCUCAAGCUAUUAAAAAUGAAAUAAGCCAACAAUGAUUGUGAGAUGACAGAGAUAAGAAAACAUCUAUCAGAAUAAAAGAAUAUGUAAGAGCGAUAGGCAGAGUAGAAGCGAUGAUGGAUAAAGAUAAAUGAAUGUCUCCUCUGUUGUUUUUUUAGUAAAAAUCAACAAACAGUCAUUUAUAAUCACAAUUAAUAAUAAGUGCCAUUUAUUGCAGCACUUGAAAUUACGGAGUUGACCGGUGGCUCUUUUUUAAAACACAUUUGGCUUUACAGUUCUUUUCUUAUACCCCUGUGACCUUGAUACACCACUAUUAAACACAUUUGUUUUUACAUUUCCUUUUUUAUACACCUGUAAUCUUAGCACACUGUUAAAAAGUACCACCUUCCUCAGAGAAAUAAAAAUUGAUUUUUCUCAAA